Molecule: ribosomal RNA, 431 nt
Filed under: uncultured bacterium
Lineage: Bacteria
Description: partial 16S ribosomal RNA
Rfam family: Bacterial small subunit ribosomal RNA
Source: RNAcentral
AACGAACGCUGGCGGCAGGCCUAACACAUGCAAGUCGAGCGCCCUUUCGGGGGAGCGGCGGCCGGGUGAGUAACGCGUGGGAAUAUGCCCUUCUCUACGGAAUAGCCUCGGGAAACUGAGAGUAAUACCGUAUACGCCCUGUGGGGGAAAGAUUUAUCGGGGAAGGAUUAGCCCGCGUUGGAUUAGGUAGUUGGUAGGGUAAUGGCCUACCAAGCCGACGAUCCAUAGCUGGUUUGAGAGGAUGAUCAGCCACACUGGGACUGAGACACGGCCCAGACUCCUACGGGAGGCAGCAGUGGGGAAUCUUAGACAAUGGGGGCAACCCUGAUCUAGCCAUGCCGCGUGAGUGAUGAAGGCCUUAGGGUUGUAAAGCUCUUUCAGCUGGGAAGAUAAUGACGGUACCAGCAGAAGAAGCCCCGGCUAACUCCGUG